RNAcentral lists this ribosomal RNA (250 nucleotides) under uncultured bacterium. Its description in RNAcentral is "partial 16S ribosomal RNA". It matches the Rfam family "Bacterial small subunit ribosomal RNA", at positions 524 to 773 of the family's 1533-position model. The record is from RNAcentral.
UACGGAGGGUGCAAGCGUUAUUCGGAAUUACUGGGCGUAAAGCGCACGUAGGUGGUUUAGUAAGUCUGAUGUGAAAGCCCUGGACUCAAUCCAGGAAGUGCAUUGGAUACUGCUAGACUAGAGUACAGGAGGGGUAAGCGGAAUUCCAGGUGUAGAGGUGAAAUUCGUAGAUAUCUGGAGGAACAACGGAGGCGAAGGCGGCUUACUGGACUGUAACUGACACUGAGGUGCGAAAGCGUGGGUAGCAAAC